CCUACGGGAGGCAGCAGUGGGGAAUAUUGCACAAUGGGGGGAACCCUGAUGCAGCGACGCCGCGUGAGUGAAGAAGUAUUUCGGUAUGUAAAGCUCUAUCAGCAGGGAAGAGAGUGACGAUGCCUGAGUAAGAAGCAGCGGCUAACUACGUGCCAGCAGCCGCGGUAAUACGUAGGGGGCAAGCGUUAUCCGGAUUUACUGGGUGUAAAGGGAGCGUAGACGGCGAAGAAAGUCUGAAGUGAAAGGCCGCGGCCCAACCGCUGAACUGCUCUGGAAACUUUUUUGCUGGAGUACCGGAGAGGUAAGUGGAAUUCCUAGUGUAGCGGUGAAAUGCGUAGAUAUUAGGAGGAACACCAGUGGCGAAGGCGGCUUACCGGACUGUAACUGACGUUGAGGCUCGAAAGCGUGGGGAGCAAACAGGAUUAGAUACCCCUGUAGUC
This 440-nucleotide ribosomal RNA is filed under the name uncultured bacterium. RNAcentral describes it as "partial 16S ribosomal RNA". It matches the Rfam family "Bacterial small subunit ribosomal RNA", at positions 338 to 795 of the family's 1533-position model. The record is from RNAcentral.